AAUAUACUUUAAGUACAUAUGUGUAGAUUAUCAUACAAAGCCAGGUAUUUUAGUCAGUGUGUUGAGCAAACGAAGACGGAAUUGUCAUUUGUUUUUUUUUUGUAAAAUAAAAAAUAAACUUCUCAAUAUGAGUGGCGUUCAGAUUGUUGACGAUGACAACGGUGGAGUCAACGUUGUUGACGGUGACGGAGGCGUCCAGUUUGCUGACAACAGCGGCGGCGUCCAAUUUGCUGACAACAGCGGCGGCGUCCAAUUUGCUGACAAUAGCGGCGGCGUCCAAUUUGCUGACAACAGCGGCGGCGUGCAAUUUGCUGACAAUGACAGUGGGGUCCAAUUUGCUGGUGAUGACGGUAGCGGGGUCAACAUUGUCGGUUGAAUUAUUAAGUUUUAGUAUCUAAUCUAUUAGGAUAAUUACUGUAUUAAUAUUAUCUACUGAUUAAUUUUAAUGGAAAAUAAAUAAAUCUCCUGAUCAAUACAUAA
Spodoptera frugiperda (fall armyworm) is the source of this 480-nucleotide long non-coding RNA. RefSeq lists it as uncharacterized. The record is from RefSeq and is a predicted model, not a curated record. Lineage: Eukaryota; Metazoa; Arthropoda; Insecta; Lepidoptera; Noctuidae. The transcript is spliced from 3 exons.